AUGAAGCUCGUGGCAUGGAACUGCCGGGGGCUUGGGAACCCGGUGGCAGUUCGGAGUCUCCUGGCGCUCCAGGAGGCAGAAGAGCCAGAUAUUCUCUUUCUGUCAGAAACGAAAGCGACUGGGAGAGAGAUGGAGUUUUUGAGAUGGAGACUUGGGAUGCCGAAUAUGGUGGUGCAGGAUGCGGUUGGUCGUAGUGGUGGGCUCGCGCUCUUUUAG
Molecule: ribosomal RNA, 216 nt
Filed under: Triticum aestivum (bread wheat)
Lineage: Eukaryota; Viridiplantae; Streptophyta; Magnoliopsida; Poales; Poaceae
Description: partial small subunit ribosomal RNA
Source: RNAcentral